RNAcentral lists this ribosomal RNA (255 nucleotides) under uncultured bacterium. Its description in RNAcentral is "partial 16S ribosomal RNA". It matches the Rfam family "Bacterial small subunit ribosomal RNA", at positions 524 to 776 of the family's 1533-position model. The record is from RNAcentral.
UACAGAGGGUGCAAGCGUUGUUCGGAAUUAUUGGGCGUAAAGCGCGUGUAGGCGGCUUGGCAAGUCGGGUGUGAAAUCCCUCAGCUUAACUGAGGAAGUGCGCCCGAAACUGCCGAGCUUGAGUACCGGAGAGGGUGGCGGAAUUCCCCAAGUAGAGGUGAAAAUUCGUAGAUAUGGGGGAGGAACACCGGUGGCGAAGGCGGCCACCUGGACGGAUACUGACGCUGAGACGCGAAAGCGUGGGGAGCAAACAGG